RNAcentral lists this transfer RNA (76 nucleotides) under Minisyncoccota bacterium. Its description in RNAcentral is "tRNA-Gly". It matches the Rfam family "tRNA". From Rfam's summary of the family: Transfer RNA (tRNA) molecules are approximately 80 nucleotides in length. Lineage: Bacteria; Bacillati; Minisyncoccota. The record is from RNAcentral.
GCGGGCAUCGUAUAGUGGUAUAUUACCUUAGCCUUCCAAGCUAAUGACGAGAGUUCGAUUCUCUCUGCCCGCUCCA